Molecule: long non-coding RNA, 1113 nt
Organism: Acyrthosiphon pisum (pea aphid)
Lineage: Eukaryota; Metazoa; Arthropoda; Insecta; Hemiptera; Aphididae
Exons: 3
Source: RefSeq, a predicted model, not a curated record
AAUUGUGACUAUGGAUUAUUACUUCAAUACGAUACUGACGAUUCACGCAAUAUGCCGUAUCCAUAGUUUUAUUACUCUUAGUUCUAUCCAGUGAGCACAUUAAAAUUAGAAUUAUUCUUCAUCUUUACAAUAAUUAACUAAGGGGAAGUUUUCCCGAAUUUUUGAUAAAUAACCCUGCGUACCGUGACGCACCGCACAACCGACCGGCCUACCAGACGUCAGAGUCCCCAGUAAGGUAGGACUAUAUUAUGUUGGCAGUUUGGCACCACUGUGUUUUGUAGUGUGCGUGGAGUUUUUCACCCUUCACCACCGCUCAAGGCAAAGUACCACGACAAACUACCUGUCGCGCCCUGCGGACACCUGUGACUGACGCUAUAAGUGUACGUCUAUAGUGUACAGAUGAACGGUAACGCUGCCGUCGCAUUACUGUUGUGUCUGGCGUCCGAACACAGGUCCGGCGACGGCCAACACAUAUAGUGGAGAAUUUCAGAUACCGGUAUAACCAUCGGAAAGCUGUUUUAUACUUCAAAAAACCUCAUUAGUAGGCCGUCAACCACACCUGCACUAUCGAUGUAACUAGUGUUCAAUAAUGACGGGUCGUUACUACGGUCGCGUUUCUGUUGUGUCUGCCAUCGGAGCACAUGUCAAGGCAAUGUCAAACAUAAAUGCCGGAACUUGUCGGAAUCUGUAUAGUCACCGUUGAAAGCUGUUCACCGGUCCAAUUAACUAUCAGAGGAAGGGAAAAUUGUGUUACUUACUGGAAUCCCGUAAUUCAUUGAAUCAAAGAUUACAAAGUUGAACAAUUGUAUUUAUGAAGUAUUUUUCUCAAGCAUCAAAAUUAAUUCAACGCAGCAGUAUUUAUUAAAAAAUAAUAAUUUGUAGUGUUUUCUUCCGGUAUAAAUUAGUCUUAAAGUGAGUUUUGCUAUGUUAUCAAAACUCGCAUUAGGAUUUAUACCAGGGAAAAACCCUAUAAAUGAUUAAUUUUUAAUACGCCGGAGAAAAUUUUUAUUCUCAUCCUUUAAAUAUAUAUUUUUAAAUUUGUUUAAUUUAUAGUUCAGUACAACUUACAAGAUACGCUUGGUUUAUAAGAAAAAUACUACAAAUUAUUCAUUA